Molecule: ribosomal RNA, 397 nt
Filed under: uncultured bacterium
Lineage: Bacteria
Description: partial 16S ribosomal RNA
Rfam family: Bacterial small subunit ribosomal RNA
Source: RNAcentral
CCUACGGGAGGCAGCAGUGAGGAAUAUUGGUCAAUGGGCGGGAGCCUGAACCAGCCAAGUCGCGUGAAGGAUGAAUGCGCUAAGGGUUGUAAACUUCUUUUAUAGGGGAAUAAAAUGCGCCACGUGUGGCAUUUUGUGUGUACCCUAAGAAUAAGGAUCGGCUAACUCCGUGCCAGCAGCCGCGGUAAUACGGAGGAUCCGAGCGUUAUCCGGAUUUAUUGGGUUUAAAGGGUGCGUAGGGGGGUGGUGAAGUCAGGGGUGAAAGGUUGCGGCUCAACCGGCAAAUAGCAGUUGAAACUGUCAGACUAGAGAAGAGGAGAGGUAGGCGGAAUGCGCGGUGUAGCGGUGAAAUGCAUAGAUAUCGCGAAGAACUCCGAGUGCGAAGGCAGCGUACUGG